Aedes aegypti (yellow fever mosquito) is the source of this 57-nucleotide non-coding RNA. The record is from Rfam. NCBI's taxonomy places the organism in Eukaryota, Metazoa, Arthropoda, Insecta, Diptera, Culicidae.
UAGCUUAGUUGGAAAAGCACUCGUCUAACAUACAAGAGUCCUGGGUUCGAAUUCCAG